Molecule: small nucleolar RNA, 139 nt
Organism: Perognathus longimembris pacificus (Pacific pocket mouse)
Lineage: Eukaryota; Metazoa; Chordata; Mammalia; Rodentia; Heteromyidae
Product: small nucleolar RNA SNORA29
Exons: 1
Source: RefSeq, a predicted model, not a curated record
UGUCCCAUUUGACUACCACAUUUUCUCCAAACAUAGACUUUAGUGGCUAUGCUUAUGGGAUACAUUAAACUUGCCAUGAUCUGAAGGGGGAGGGUUCUAAAGUGCCCUCCUUCUAUAUGAAAUGGCUGAACAGAAGAUC